AGGUUGUGACAAACCUCCCUUUGGCCCCCUCUCUGCCGCCCUCAGAAAGGAUCCUUUGUGCCAGGCUCUCACGGGUGCCUCAGCACCAUGGUUUUAACUUUCACUGACACAGUCUAGAGCCAAUGGGACCCUCAUCCUACCAUGGACAGGAAGAAGGGGAACAAGCUGAGAGAAAUAGCUCAGUUAAGCCUAAAUGAAAUGCGCUGCCGUGAUUGAGAUUGCUUAGACUGGUCAACACUGGCUAACAGUAGCCUUCAACUGAUACGUCUAAAAGGACAUGGAGGAUGUGAGAGGAAGGAGUUGACAAGCAUUCCAGAUAUGAAAGCUGCAGCUUAAUAACAGGCCUGAACUGGCUGCCAUAUGCCCUCUGGACUGGAAUAUUUUGUCUGCCAGUAAAAACAAAGCAAGAUGUAGGUGAGCAUCAGCUCCUCCCUGGGUGGUUUGGAGAUAAUGUCUGAGACUGGAACAGCUGGGACCUCCCUAUGAACUCAGACAUGUCAUGUCAAAUUUAAUCCAGCAGGUGGCAUACUAGAGCGCAAUGAGGAUCUCAGCGCCUGGCUUCACUUUACACGGCUACAGUUGGUGUGACAACAAGGAAGUAAAACGAGUCCUCCAGACCUAAAUGAUCCACCAGAUGUGGGAGAGGAAUACAGCUGGAUCCAGUAUCUUCAGACAAAUUUGUUGAUCGGGGGUGGGGGGGUUCUAUCUAUUUCAUGCUGCAGUAGGAUUUUCUGAUUAGAUAUGAUUAGGUAUAUUUUCUGUAUGGAUUAUUUUUUACUUCUUGUGAGGAUGGGGUGGUUUGAACUAGAAGUAGACCGUCCUGCAAACACAGGAAAUAAAGGCAGUUAAAAACUCUAGCUUUUAAGGCAACCAUGAAACAAAUCUGAAGCUUAAGCUUAAACCCAGCCUAUGAUUUGUAGCUGGACACUCAGGCCCAGGCUUUUCAUUUAAAUCCAGCUCCAAAUAGGACGGAAGUAGAGUUAUAGGAUGAAACAUGAGUGUUAGACUGAUGGAUGUUGCUGGUAGUGUCUGAAACUUCUUAAGCAUCUAGUGAUGCAUUUACUGACUUUGGCUAAAUUGCAUUUGCUUUUAGUGAGGAAGACAUUUUUUCAGUUUUCUAUUGAAACUAAAUUGACAUUAUUUUACCAUAUUUACAGUGGACAAAUAUAGCACAAAUUUAAGAAAAUGGAACAGUAAAAAUUUUAAAUUUUUAAAUUA
Long non-coding RNA from Cyprinodon tularosa, 1218 nucleotides. RefSeq lists it as uncharacterized. The record is from RefSeq and is a predicted model, not a curated record. The transcript is spliced from 4 exons. NCBI's taxonomy places the organism in Eukaryota, Metazoa, Chordata, Actinopteri, Cyprinodontiformes, Cyprinodontidae.